This 585-nucleotide long non-coding RNA is filed under the name Chrysemys picta bellii (western painted turtle). RNAcentral's name for it is "lncRNA (ENSCPBG00000021107.1)". The record is from RNAcentral. Lineage: Eukaryota; Metazoa; Chordata; Testudines; Emydidae.
CAUCCAUGUGACUCUGUGCGUUUUCUCCGUGUUCCUUCCCUUCAGGUCUCUCGCAUGCCUCUUUCGCAGGAAUGGAACGUGAUUUUCUUCAACGGCAUCUGGGAGAGGAUGCUGCAGAUGCCUGAUGCGACUAGCCCCCCUAUUUUGUCCCAAUGGCUCAAGAGACUUCAGCCAUUUGUGGUCAACCCAAAGGUCUUCACUUGUCUUCAUGCCAAAAAUACAUCAUGUGGAACACUUCACAAGAUAGUUGCUGCCCUGAAUGGCAUCUAUUCUAACCUCACAGUGGAAGACCAGAGGAAUAUUUACAAAGGGCUCAAAUAUUAUCUCACGGGGGACGGAUCGAAACAGAAUUGCUACAAUGCAGCUCUUCCAAGCCUGAGUUCCACCGCUUGGUUUGCUAAUUAUUUGGGUUCCUUUAUGGAGCAUGCAUUAGUGGGAGACCUGCAGCUCUUUGCUGAUGAGCCAACUCUUCAGAAAUUUGCCCGAGAUCCAGUCAACUUACAACUGAUCAGUAACCUCAGUUUACCCAGGGAGACGGCUGUGUAUUACACCUCAUUCCUUACCUCUGCACCUGGCUUCCAACUA